CUGUGCUAAAACGGGGAGACAGCGGUGCCCUGUAACCCUGAACCCGCUAUACAGGGGCUGACAAUCUGUUAGGAGGCUUGCAACUGUAAGCCAGGGCAAAUAGAAGUGGCGUUGAAGGCAGGACCCUUUGCAGUACAAGUUUUUGAACCCCGUGAGCUCCGGAAGGAAGCAGCGGUAAGAAAAUGUUGUGCUGGCUUAGGAAAAUCUUGUUGGAGCCAUAGAUAUUUGUACAGCUUGUAGUUGUAAGUCAACUACAGACGCACAG
RNAcentral lists this signal recognition particle RNA (265 nucleotides) under Candidatus Atribacteria bacterium. RNAcentral describes it as "signal recognition particle sRNA large type". It matches the Rfam family "Bacterial large signal recognition particle RNA". From Rfam's summary of the family: The signal recognition particle (SRP) is a universally conserved ribonucleoprotein involved in the co-translational targeting of proteins to membranes. Archaeal SRP consists of a 7S RNA and homologues of the eukaryotic SRP19 and SRP54 proteins. In most bacteria, the SRP consists of a 4.5S RNA and the Ffh protein (a homologue of the eukaryotic SRP54 protein). The record is from RNAcentral. Lineage: Bacteria; Pseudomonadati; Atribacterota; Atribacteria.